GGGUGAGUAAUAUAUCGGAACGUACCAUUCAGUGGGGGAUAACGUAGCGAAAGUUACGCUAAUACCGCAUAUUCUGUGAGCAGGAAAGCAGGGGAUCGCAAGACCUUGCGCUGAUUGAGCGGCCGAUAUCAGAUUAGCUUGUUGGUGAGGUAAAAGCUCACCAAGGCGACGAUCUGUAGCGGGUCUGAGAGGAUGAUCCGCCACACUGGAACUGAGACACGGUCCAGACUCCUACGGGAGGCAGCAGUGGGGAAUUUUGGACAAUGGGGGCAACCCUGAUCCAGCCAUGCCGCGUGUGUGAAGAAGGCCUUCGGGUUGUAAAGCUCUUUCAGCCGGGAAGAAAACGCAUGGGUUAAUACCCUGUGUGGAUGACGGUACCGGAAUAAAGCACCGGCUAACUACGUGCCAGCAGCCGCGGUAAUACGUAGGGUGCGAGCGUUAAUCGGAAUUACUGGGCGUAAAGCGUGCGCAGGCGGUUUUGUAAGACAGGCGUGAAAUCCCCGGGCUUAACCUGGGAACUGCGUUUGUGACUGCAAGGCUAGAGUACGGCAGAGGGGGGUGGAAUUCCACGUGUAGCAGUGAAAUGCGUAGAGAUGUGGAGGAACACCAAUGGCGAAGGCAGCCCCCUGGGUCGAUACUGACGCUCAUGCACGAAAGCGUGGGUAGCAAACAGGAUUAGAUACCCUGGUAGUCCACGCCCUAAACGAUGUCAACUAGGUGUUGGGAGGGUAAAACCUUUUAGUACCGGAGUUAACGCGUGAAGUUGACCGCCUGGGGAGUACGGCCGCAAGGUUAAAACUCAAAGGAAUUGACGGGGACCCGCACAAGCGGUGGAUGAUGUGGAUUAAUUCGAUGCAACGCGAAAAACCUUACCUACCCUUGACAUGCCAAGAACUUUCCAGAGAUGGAUUGGUGCCCGAAAGGGAACUUGGACACAGGUGCUGCAUGGCUGUCGUCAGCUCGUGUCGUGAGAUGUUGGGUUAAGUCCCGCAACGAGCGCAACCCUUGUCGUUAAUUGCCAUCAUUUAGUUGGGCACUUUAACGAGACUGCCGGUGACAAACCGGAGGAAGGUGGGGAUGACGUCAAGUCCUCAUGGCCCUUAUGGGUAGGGCUUCACACGUCAUACAAUGGUCGGUACAAAGGGUCGCCAAGCCGCGAGGUGGAGCCAAUCCCAGAAAGCCGAUCGUAGUCCGGAUCGCAGUCUGCAACUCGACUGCGUGAAGUCGGAAUCGCUAGUAAUCGUGGAUCAGAAUGUCACGGCGAAUACGUUCCCGGGUCUUGUACACACCGCCCGUCACACCAUGGGAGCGGGUUCCGCCAGAAGUAGGUAGCCUAACCGCCGGGAAGGCGCUGACCACGGUGUGGUCAAUGACUGGGGUGAAGUCGUAACAAGGUA
Molecule: ribosomal RNA, 1397 nt
Filed under: metagenome
Description: bacterial SSU rRNA
Rfam family: Bacterial small subunit ribosomal RNA
Source: RNAcentral